UACGGGGGGAGCAAGCGUUUGUUCGGAUUUACUGGGCGUAAAGGGCGCGUAGGCGGCCACCGCAAGUCGACUGUGAAAUCUCCGGGCUUAACCCGGAAAGGUCAGCCGAUACUGCGGGGCUAGAGUGCAGAAGGGGCAACUGGAAUUCUUGGUGUAGCGGUGAAAUGCGUAGAUAUCGAGAGGAACACCUGCGGCGAAGGCGGGUUGCUGGGCUGACACUGACGCUGAGGCGCGAAAGCUAGGGGAGCGAACGGG
RNAcentral lists this ribosomal RNA (255 nucleotides) under uncultured bacterium. RNAcentral's name for it is "partial 16S ribosomal RNA". It matches the Rfam family "Bacterial small subunit ribosomal RNA", at positions 524 to 776 of the family's 1533-position model. The record is from RNAcentral.